Molecule: long non-coding RNA, 716 nt
Organism: Lagopus muta (rock ptarmigan)
Lineage: Eukaryota; Metazoa; Chordata; Aves; Galliformes; Phasianidae
Exons: 5
Source: RefSeq, a predicted model, not a curated record
AUGGCCAGAAUAAUUCAAAUACAGAUUAAAAUAUGGCUAUAAAAAGAGUACCAAAAACCUAACGACAGCAAGAAGAAGCUCUGAAGAAGCUGCUUUUUCAUUAACUGGUAUUCUAAUACAGGUGGUGUAUUGUAGCUUGUGGGGACAUAGCAAGAAUGGAGCUGUUUCAGUAGAAGAUAAUUUGUUCUUCUGAUGAAAAUAUUUUCUAGCUCAUCUCAUUUGAAAUGAAUGUUUGUUAACAGCAUACGCAGACAACAUUUGUUCUUGUGGGGUCAGGAGCUCAAGUGACUCCACUGAAACCCUGGCAUUUAUCACAGGCAAAAUUAGGUCAGAAGAGAGCACAGAGGUACUGAACUGAAAAGAGAUAAAUUCAUCCUUAGAAGGAAAAGAAUGGCUCGAGCUGCAAAGUUGGGUUUAAUUUGUCUCCUCCACAUAAGAAGUGACUGUGAAGUGCCGGUGAGGAUCACAAUUAAUGAACAAUGGGGAAAAGAAUCCAGAAAACUUCACUGUGGGUAGAUUCCUAAGAUUCUUCGACAUACAAAGCUCACAUAAAAGGCUCACAAACUCUUUGUCAUAGGAUGUGGUUGCUCUCUUUUAUGACAAUACUGGACUGUUUCUGCAGAAAUUGCUCUUUCUGGAACAGAAGGAGGAGAAGCAUGCAGACCAAGCUGUAUCCUCAGUGACAGUGGAUAAAAUGUUGGUGGCUGAAGGCUUAA